Molecule: non-coding RNA, 381 nt
Organism: Pelobates cultripes (western spadefoot toad)
Lineage: Eukaryota; Metazoa; Chordata; Amphibia; Anura; Pelobatidae
Source: the annotation of a GenBank genome assembly
CCUGUUCUAUUGUAAUUGCAGCUGUCAAUGGUAGAAUGGUAGCUCUUUGUGAGAACUUGAGAAAAAAAAGUCACCCAUUCCACUUCUACAACAAAGUUAUGUUAAAUGAUCAUUCACCAAGAAUAAGUCACACAAGAAGAAUCCUUCAUCUUCAAAGUGUUCUAUUAAUGCUGGUGGUGAGAAGUCUGGAUUAAAAAGAAUAUUCCUGGCUAGAAAUCAGUCUCAAAGCACUACCUUUCAUGAGAGUCAAAGCGUCAGCUGGUAUUCCGUAAACUCCAAUGAAAAUUGUGUGAAAUUGUAAUAAACAAUUUUAACACACUUGAGGCAAUUGUUUAGUCAGCUGUAUCUCUCACAUAUGCAACCAGUAUGCUUCUUCUUAUC